CCCGCUGAGUUUAAGCAUAUCAAUAAGCGGAGGAAAAGAAACUUACCAGGAUUCCCCUAGUAACGGCGAGCGAACAGGGAAAAGCACAGCUUGAGAAUCAGGCGCCACCAGCGUUUGAAUUGUAGUCUGGAGAAGCGUCCUCAGCGACGGACUGGGCCCAAGUCCCUUGGAAAGGGGCGCCGGAGAGGGUGAGAGCUCGGACCCUGUUACACCACGAGGCGCUAUCUAUGAGUCGGGUUGUUUGGGAUGCAGCCUUAAUCGGGCGGUAAAUUUCGUCCAAGGCUAAAUACGGGCGAGAGACCGAUAGCGAACAAGUACCGCGAGGGAAAAUGAAAAGGACUUUGAAAAGAGAGUCAAAGAGUGCUUGAAAUUAUCGGGAGGGAAGCGAAUGGGGGUCGAUGAUGCACCCAGGUCGAAUGUGGAACUGUGAGAGCCAGUCCGUCAAUCGGCUCGGGGCAUGGACCGACGGGGUCGUGGCAGUGGCCCAAGCCCGGGCCUUUUAUAUGCCUGUGGAGAAUUUGCCUCCUCGAUCGUGGGAUCCAGCACGCGCUGUCUCGGCGUGCUUCGGCACCUGUAUGCUCCGGGCGUCGGCCUACGGGCUCCCCAUUCGGCCCGUCUUGAAACACGA
Molecule: non-coding RNA, 628 nt
Filed under: Gossypium arboreum
Lineage: Eukaryota; Viridiplantae; Streptophyta; Magnoliopsida; Malvales; Malvaceae
Description: Eukaryotic large subunit ribosomal RNA
Rfam family: Eukaryotic large subunit ribosomal RNA
Source: Rfam by way of RNAcentral